Molecule: ribosomal RNA, 254 nt
Filed under: uncultured bacterium
Lineage: Bacteria
Description: partial 16S ribosomal RNA
Rfam family: Bacterial small subunit ribosomal RNA
Source: RNAcentral
UACGGAGGGGGCUAGCGUUGUUCGGAAUUACUGGGCGUAAGGCGCACGUAGGCGGAUCAGCCAGUCAGGGGUGAAAUCCCGGGGCUCAACCCCGGAACUGCCUUUGAUACUGCUGGUCUGGAGUUCGGGAGAGGCGAGUGGAAUUCCGAGUGUAGAGGUGAAAUUCGUAGAUAUUCGGAGGAACACCAGUGGCGAAGGCGGCUCGCUGGCCCGAGACUGACGCUGAGGUGCGAAAGCGUGGGGAGCAAACAGGG